GGUUAAGUUAGAAAGGGCGCACGGUGGAUGCCUUGACACUAGGAGUCGAUGAAGGACGGGACUAACGCCGAUAUGCUUCGGGGAGCUGUAAGUAAGCUUUGAUCCGAAGAUUUCCGAAUGGGGAAACCCACCAUACGUAAUGGUAUGGUAUCCUUAUCUGAAUACAUAGGGUAAGGAAGACAGACCCAGGGAACUGAAACAUCUAAGUACCUGGAGGAAGAGAAAGCAAAUGCGAUUUCCUGAGUAGCGGCGAGCGAAACGGAACAUAGCCCAAACCAAGAGGCUUGCCUCUUGGGGUUGUAGGACAUUCUAUACGGAGUUACAAAGGAACGAGGUAGACGAAGCGACCUGGAAAGGUCCGUCGUAGAGGGUAACAACCCCGUAGUCGAAACUUCGUUCUCUCUUGAAUGUAUCCUGAGUACGGCGGAACACGUGAAAUUCCGUCGGAAUCUGGGAGGACCAUCUCCCAAGGCUAAAUACUACCUAGUGAUCGAUAGUGAACCAGUACCGUGAGGGAAAGGUGAAAAGCACCCCGGAAGGGGAGUGAAAGAGAUCCUGAAACCGUGUGCCUACAAAUAGUCAGAGCCCGUUAACGGGUGAUGGCGUGCCUUUUGUAGAAUGAACCGGCGAGUUACGAUCCCGUGCGAGGUUAAGCUGAAGAGGCGGAGCCGCAGCGAAAGCGAGUCUGAAUAGGGCGUUUAGUACGUGGUCGUAGACCCGAAACCAGGUGAUCUACCCAUGUCCAGGGUGAAGUUCAGGUAACACUGAAUGGAGGCCCGAACCCACGCACGUUGAAAAGUGCGGGGAUGAGGUGUGGGUAGCGGAGAAAUUCCAAUCGAACCUGGAGAUAGCUGGUUCUCCCCGAAAUAGCUUUAGGGCUAGCCUUAAGUGUAAGAGUCUUGGAGGUAGAGCACUGAUUGGACUAGGGGUCCUCAUCGGAUUACCGAAUUCAGUCAAACUCCGAAUGCCAAUGACUUAUCCUUAGGAGUCAGACUGCGAGUGAUAAGAUCCGUAGUCAAAAGGGAAACAGCCCAGACCGCCAGCUAAGGUCCCAAAGUGUGUAUUAAGUGGAAAAGGAUGUGGAGUUGCUUAGACAACUAGGAUGUUGGCUUAGAAGCAGCCACCAUUUAAAGAGUGCGUAAUAGCUCACUAGUCGAGUGACUCUGCGCCGAAAAUGUACCGGGGCUAAAUACACCACCGAAGCUGCGGAUUGAUACCAAUGGUAUCAGUGGUAGGGGAGCGUUCUAAGGACAGUGAAGUCAGACCGGAAGGACUGGUGGAGUGCUUAGAAGUGAGAAUGCCGGUAUGAGUAGCGAAAGACGGGUGAGAAUCCCGUCCACCGAAUGCCUAAGGUUUCCUGAGGAAGGCUCGUCCGCUCAGGGUUAGUCAGGACCUAAGCCGAGGCCGACAGGCGUAGGCGAUGGACAACAGGUUGAUAUUCCUGUACCACCUCUUUAUCGUUUGAGCAAUGGAGGGACGCAGAAGGAUAGAAGAAGCGUGCGAUUGGUUGUGCACGUCCAAGCAGUUAGGCUGAUAAGUAGGCAAAUCCGCUUAUCGUGAAGGCUGAGCUGUGAUGGGGAAGCUCCUUAUGGAGCGAAGUCUUUGAUUCCCCGCUGCCAAGAAAAGCUUCUAGCGAGAUAAAAGGUGCCUGUACCGCAAACCGACACAGGUAGGCGAGGAGAGAAUCCUAAGGUGUGCGAGAGAACUCUGGUUAAGGAACUCGGCAAAAUGACCCCGUAACUUCGGGAGAAGGGGUGCUUUCUUAACGGAAAGCCGCAGUGAAUAGGCCCAAGCGACUGUUUAGCAAAAACACAGCUCUCUGCGAAGCCGUAAGGCGAAGUAUAGGGGGUGACACCUGCCCGGUGCUGGAAGGUUAAGGAGAGGGGUUAGCGUAAGCGAAGCUCUGAACUGAAGCCCCAGUAAACGGCGGCCGUAACUAUAACGGUCCUAAGGUAGCGAAAUUCCUUGUCGGGUAAGUUCCGACCCGCACGAAAGGUGUAACGAUUUGGGCACUGUCUCAACCAGAGACUCGGUGAAAUUAUAGUACCUGUGAAGAUGCAGGUUACCCGCGACAGGACGGAAAGACCCCGUGGAGCUUUACUGUAGCCUGAUAUUGAAUUUUGGUACAGUUUGUACAGGAUAGGCGGGAGCCUUUGAAACCGGAGCGCUAGCUUCGGUGGAGGCGCUGGUGGGAUACCGCCCUGACUGUAUUGAAAUUCUAACCUACGGGUCUUAUCGACCCGGGAGACAGUGUCAGGUGGGCAGUUUGACUGGGGCGGUCGCCUCCUAAAGUGUAACGGAGGCGCCCAAAGGUUCCCUCAGAAUGGUUGGAAAUCAUUCGUAGAGUGCAAAGGCAUAAGGGAGCUUGACUGCGAGACCUACAAGUCGAGCAGGGACGAAAGUCGGGCUUAGUGAUCCGGUGGUUCCGCAUGGAAGGGCCAUCGCUCAACGGAUAAAAGCUACCCCGGGGAUAACAGGCUUAUCUCCCCCAAGAGUCCACAUCGACGGGGAGGUUUGGCACCUCGAUGUCGGCUCAUCGCAUCCUGGGGCUGUAGUCGGUCCCAAGGGUUGGGCUGUUCGCCCAUUAAAGCGGUACGCGAGCUGGGUUCAGAACGUCGUGAGACAGUUCGGUCCCUAUCCGUCGUGGGCGUAGGAAAUUUGAGAGGAGCUGUCCUUAGUACGAGAGGACCGGGAUGGACGCACCGCUGGUGUACCAGUUGUUCUGCCAAGGGCAUAGCUGGGUAGCUAUGUGCGGAAGGGAUAAGUGCUGAAAGCAUCUAAGCAUGAAGCCCCCCUCAAGAUGAGAUUUCCCAUAGCGUAAGCUAGUAAGAUCCCUGAAAGAUGAUCAGGUUGAUAGGUUCGAGGUGGAAGCAUGGUGACAUGUGGAGCUGACGAAUACUAAUAGAUCGAGGACUUAACCAU
Molecule: ribosomal RNA, 2922 nt
Filed under: Bacillus tropicus
Lineage: Bacteria; Bacillati; Bacillota; Bacilli; Caryophanales; Bacillaceae
Description: 23S ribosomal RNA
Rfam family: Bacterial large subunit ribosomal RNA
Source: RNAcentral